AUUAUACGGCGAAACUGCGAAUGGCUCAUUAAAUCAGUUAUCGUUUAUUUGAUAGUACCUUACUACUUGGAUAACCGUGGUAAUUCUAGAGCUAAUACAUGCUUAAAAUCCCGACUCACGAAGGGAUGUAUUUAUUAGAUUAAAAACCAAUGCCCUUCGGGGCUCUUUGGUGAUUCAUAAUAACUUUUCGAAUCGCAUGGCCUUGCGCCGGCGAUGGUUCAUUCAAAUUUCUGCCCUAUCAACUUUCGAUGGCAGGGUCUUGGCCUGCCAUGGUGACAACGGGUAACGGAGGGUUAGGGCUCGACCCCGGAGAAGGAGCCUGAGAAACGGCUACUACAUCCAAGGAAGGCAGCAGGCGCGCAAAUUACCCAAUCCCGACUCGGGGAGGUAGUGACAAUAAAUACUGAUACAGGGCUCUUUUGGGUCUUGUAAUUGGAAUGAGUACAAUUUAAAUCCCUUAACGAGGAACAAUUGGAGGGCAAGUCUGGUGCCAGCAGCCGCGGUAAUUCCAGCUCCAAUAGCGUAUAUUAAAGUUGUUGCAGUUAAAAAGCUCGUAGUUGAACCUUGGGCCUGGCUGGCCGGUCCGCCUCACCGCGUGCACUGGUUCGGCCGGGCCUUUCCCUCUGGGGAACCGCAUGCCCUUCACUGGGUGUGUCGGGGAACCAGGACUUUUACUGUGAAAAAAUUAGAGUGUUCAAAGCAGGCCUAUGCUCGAAUACAUUAGCAUGGAAUAAUAGAAUAGGACGUGUGGUUCUAUUUUGUUGGUUUCUAGGACCGCCGUAAUGAUUAAUAGGGACAGUCGGGGGCGUCAGUAUUCAAUUGUCAGAGGUGAAAUUCUUGGAUUUAUUGAAGACUAACUACUGCGAAAGCAUUCGCCAAGGAUGUUUUCAUUAAUCAGGAACGAAAGUUAGGGGAUCGAAGACGAUCAGAUACCGUCGUAGUCUUAACCAUAAACUAUGCCGACUAGGGAUCGGGCGAUGUUAUUAUUUGACUCGCUCGGCACCUUACGAGAAAUCAAAGUCUUUGGGUUCUGGGGGG
This 1038-nucleotide ribosomal RNA is filed under the name Arthrinium sp. RNAcentral's name for it is "SSU rRNA". It matches the Rfam family "Eukaryotic small subunit ribosomal RNA", at positions 73 to 1121 of the family's 1831-position model. Lineage: Eukaryota; Fungi; Ascomycota; Sordariomycetes; Amphisphaeriales; Apiosporaceae. The record is from RNAcentral.